RNA transcript from Syzygium oleosum, 3199 nucleotides. It is a transcript of the gene named transcription factor GAMYB-like, with no coding region annotated. The record is from RefSeq and is a predicted model, not a curated record. Lineage: Eukaryota; Viridiplantae; Streptophyta; Magnoliopsida; Myrtales; Myrtaceae. The transcript is spliced from 5 exons.
ACUCGAUCAAAUGAUUAGCAUUCAAUUUUUUCUUUCUUCUUCUUUUUUUUUUUGCCUGCUCGCUUUCGGGGAUUAAUAAUAAUCGAAUCGAGGGAUCAUCGCGAGGCUCGAGCGCGAUCGAGAUCAGGUGGGGGCCAAGAAAGAUCUCCAUCGAUCCAUCACUGAUCUGCACUCCCCCUCUCUCUCUCGCUACUCCGCAAAACCUCCCUGCUCGCCUUCUCUCUCCUCGAGCUCAGAGAGGGAGAGCAGUCGAGAGCGUGCGCGAAUGGCGCGGAGGCGACGCGGCGGUUGCCCGGAGUUUCCGACGGAAGCGUAGAUCGGAGCGCGCGCGGGGGAGAGGUUUUGGCGCUCGUCGCCGGAAUCCGGUGUCUCUGGUGAAGUUGCGCGGGGGUUCGUUUCUGAAACCGCUGCUGGUUUCUGUCCGCGCGCGAGGGAGCCGGCGAGCUGAUUUGAUUGGCGAAUCGAGUUUCGUUUUUUCUCUGGUAAUCGGUUUUCUGGAGAGGAAGUUUCGCGAGGAUCGGGGUUGGGGUUUUCUGGGAGUGAGGCUCGCUCUCGCUCGCUUGCUCUCAAGAUUCGAGCCGAGUGAGCUUCGAAUGGGCGCGAAGGAUUAUUUCGAGGAUGCUCUGGACGCGAAGGCCAAGAUCAUGAGCAAUGAUUAGUUCUCUCGGUGGAAUCUGACCAGGCGCCAUUUCCUUCUGGCAAAUUGGUCGAGAUGCGAAGUACGGCAGAUGGUGGCAGGGAUAAAAAGGUGCGCAAGAUUCGCAGGCACUCGCCAUCCGGUGAGGAAGCCAGCGAUGGAGGAGGGGUUCCUUUGAAGAAAGGCCCUUGGACAGCGGCGGAAGAUGCAAUUUUGGUCGACUAUGUCACUAAGCAUGGGGAGGGAAAUUGGAAUGCGGUCCAGAAGCAUUCAGGGCUUGCCAGGUGUGGGAAAAGCUGUCGUUUGCGGUGGGCAAAUCACCUGAGACCUGAUCUGAAGAAAGGUGCAUUUUCUCCCGAGGAAGAGCGUCUUAUUAUUGAGCUCCACGCGAAAAUGGGAAACAAAUGGGCUCGAAUGGCUGCAGAGUUACCCGGACGUACAGACAAUGAGAUAAAGAACUACUGGAAUACAAGAAUUAAACGGCUGCAACGCACUGGCAUGCCUAUAUACCCAACUGAGGUUUGUCUGCAAGUGUCAAGUGGGAAUCAAGAAAUUCAUAACAUGGGUAACUUGCAUACUGCAGGCGAAGAUAAUUGUGAUCUCUCACAGGCAGAGACACUUGAGAUCCCAGAGGUGGAUUUUAGAAAACUGGAACUGCAUCUAGGUUUCUCGUCUUUUUGGUCUACACUUUUGGACGUUCCUCCUUGUGGCUUUGGGAGAGAGGCAAUGUGUCUAUCUGAUGCUUACUGCCUUCCAAUUCCAUCAAUCCGGUCUCCUAAACGCCUUCGGGGGUAUGAAACCCCAUUUCCUGUUUUGGAUGCCGGAAGCCAUGACAGUUUCUCUUCAUUUGGUCAGUAUGCUGACUAUUCCUCCGAGAUCACCCCCGAGUCCUUUGUGUUGUCAUCGCCAUAUGAUGUCAAUCCUGACUCAACUAACCAGUCUCUACUGGGCGAUCUCCCCGGCAGCCAUGCCUUUCUAAAUGGCAACUACCCUUCUUCUGUGCCCCAUUUGGAGGCCAUGAAGUCGGAGCUCCCUUCACUCCAAUAUACAGAAACUCAGCAAAGUAGCUGUGGUACUCCUGCAUCCCCAUGGCCUUCCCUUGAGUCUGUUGAUCCUCUAAUACAGUCACCUCCAUGUGAGCACUAUCAAUCGGAUUGUCAUUCACCGCAGAGGUGCGGCCUACUGGAAGCAGUUAUCUAUGAAGCCUGCUCUAAGCAAAAAUCUUGCGCACAGACUACAGGCGUUUCUGGCGAUGUAGCUUACAACUCUUCUCCAGUUCAGCUUGGGACAAAGCAGGAAAUACAUGCUGCCCCAGACUCUCCUUUUGGUCAUAAUGCUACAUCAGUGCUCAAUGAUUGCGCUAUUGCCAGUGGAAAAUCUUUUGAAGAACCCCGAUCCGCCGACACCAUGCCUGGAUUUGACAUUAAGCCUGAGGAAGAUAGCAAACCUUUCACUGAUUUUGAUGGAAAGCAAGAGAUCCCAGAUCAGAUGCACAUUAACGAGCCAGAUGCUUUGCUUGAUUUAGAUUGGUGCCAGCACAAAAGUCAGCCUAGCGAAGACAAAAUUCGGGCAGAUUAUAUAGGAGCUCUUCUCGGUACCGAUUUUUAGUGAGUCCCCCCGGAAUACGGGUGAUAGGACCGCAUUGCACUAGUAGACAACACGACUAUGAUGUGCCUUAUCGUCAGCCCUUGGGAAUAUCGCACUGGAAGCAUCAUGUUGGACUGGGCCCUUAGCUCUAGACUUGCAACUUCUUGUUCUCUUGUGGUGUUUUAUUUGCUAGUGUUUUAUCAAUCCAUGGGCAUGACACCCCAGACUAGGAGAAAGUGUUGCAUGGAGCAGCUGCAGCACCAACCUGGUGGGGGCGAAGGAGUCGAUCUUCCACCUAAUGAUUCUCGACUCUUUGCUUGGACUUUAAUAUAUGCCAGAGUCAUGACAGGUAUGCUCAGUGACCAUAGCGAGGCCAGGCCAUCGGGCAGUUCCUCAGAGGCUCGCGUCCAUCACUCAUACUGUCUCUCCCGUUAAAGAGGGCUGUAUCCACAUCCUAGACCGGUGAAUGCGAGGGAAUGUUGCUUCUGAAUCGAAGAAGAAAAAUGGAUGAGAUGGACCAGUCUCAGGCGAUAAAUCUUUUUGCAGAAAGCACGAACCGUUUAGUUGCCUUCCAAUGCAGCAUGCCGCUGAUAGCCCCUCUCCUGGUCGAACGCUGGACGUACUGAUGAGUUGGUUAGUCGACCAUGCAAUAAUUCAAAUGCUUCAUCGACCCUAAAAGUAACCAAAAAGUAGAAGAUCGGAAUCAAUCUGGUAACGUGAAACGGCUCGUGAUAAAGCAAUCACUCGUCGGAUCGGGGAGGAGCUGAAACGAGAAAAAACCGCACCCGCAUAAGAUUGCGAGCCUGGCCGUCAAGCCCUGAUCAGGUCUACCGCGAUUGAUUAUUGCUAUUAUUAUUAUUCUAAAAGCCAUACAUUUCCUUAAAUGCGGAUUUGAGGCGCUGUCUAUUUUAGGUAGAGUGUGCACGCUCCUAACACUGCAAUAAAUAUAGAGCGAAGCCACCGACUUAUUACUUG